RNAcentral lists this ribosomal RNA (253 nucleotides) under uncultured bacterium. RNAcentral's name for it is "partial 16S ribosomal RNA". It matches the Rfam family "Bacterial small subunit ribosomal RNA", at positions 524 to 776 of the family's 1533-position model. The record is from RNAcentral.
UACGGAGGGUGCAAGCGUUGUUCGGAAUUACUGGGCGUAAAGGGCGCGUAGGCGGUGCAGUAAGUCAGAUGUGAAAGCCCUGGGCUCAACCCAGGAAUUGCAUUUGAUACUGCUGUACUUGAGUAUGGGAGAGGAGAGUGGAAUUCCCAGUGUAGAGGUGAAAUUCGUAGAUAUUGGGAGGAACACCCGUGGCGAAGGCGACUCUCUGGACCAAUACUGACGAUGAGGCGCGAAAGCGUGGGGAGCAAACAGG